ACGGGCGCUGAUACCGAUUUACACCACUCUGUAACACAAUGGCGCCAGCAACACCGGAACACUGACAACACCACUAAACGCUGGGUGUCGCAAAGAACCAGCAAAGAACACACAAAAGAGAAAUGUCAAUUUGCUAUUUUGCUUUGAAUUUGCUGAUGACUCAGAUUGAUCUAAGCGAAUUCAUACAGCAAUAUUGGAAGAAAUUUCCUUGAAUCAUUUAUUUGCUGGAUCAACGCAGCUACUAAUCGCAGCGACUGAUAUCCCGAUGUGAAAGAAAAUGUAAAAAUACGAGUUUUCGCGAAAGGUAACAGCACGCAUGACGAUAUGUUACAAUAUCUCCAGUGUUAGACGAGGUGUUACCAAUUAGUUGGUUUACUGCCCAAAUCUGAUCUACACUUUAUUAUAUAAACGAAUUGCACCACGCACUUUGGACUCAGAAACGUGAACCGAAGAACAUCAGCCAAAUUUGAUAAUCAAUUGCUAUACGGCAUAUAAAAUCGCAUUUGGCAUUCGCAUUUGAACGCACAUUGACAAGGUAUUGCGUGAGGCAUAUUGUGUCUUGUAACCAGGUGGACGCUUUAUGGUUUGGACUCACGUCAUCUAAUCAAUGACACACUACAAUGGCUUUACGAUCAGUACUCGUUUAAAGUGAUACCGCCAAUGGGCCAGAUUUUAGCGAGUCAAUUGCAGCCCUAUCAGUAUCCGGUAGAUAAUUUGGAAAUUUCGAAGCAAAUGAUUGAAGAUGAAUCUAGCAUUCAGAGUUGGGAGCAUAUUCAGGUUUUAACCUAUAAAUUUUUAUAUUUUAUGCACAUGCCAAGGCGUAAAUAAGUUAAAUAGCAUAAUAUUUAGCAAAUUUAUAUAAUAAAUGGCGUUUUUUUAAUAUACAGGUAUAUUUUCGAUUUCAUAAUAGUAACGGGCCUAAGAGACGUGGGUCCACCAUGUUGCAACUUUCCCACGUAUUUUAUUUUAUAUAAAAUAGCUAUAAAACAAAUACAUUUGUGAUUCGCACACCAAAUCGUCAGUACAUUUAGAAGCGAGGAAAUUUUAAAGCAGUGAGCAUUCCAGUUGGAAUUUUUAUUAAAACCCUUAUAGUUCAUUUACUUUAAUAGUGUCUUAAUCCAAAAAAUACAAAUAUUGAGCUAAAUAUGUAUUCCCGCUACUUCUACUUCUAUGUUGUGCAAAAAUUUCAUAGCUGUAUCGAUUACCAGUAUCUCAUUAGAACAAAAUAUUAUUCAGCCCUAUCUCCAACUCCAUGUGAAUAAAUCGUUUCCAUAAUUUAACAGGAAAAACAAAAACAAAUUGGAAAAAA
Molecule: long non-coding RNA, 1309 nt
Filed under: Rhagoletis pomonella (apple maggot)
Lineage: Eukaryota; Metazoa; Arthropoda; Insecta; Diptera; Tephritidae
Description: uncharacterized LOC118754943
Source: RNAcentral